GGAGCCUGCUUCAGAAUCUGUGAAUCCCUUCCUCUCUGACCCUCCCCUGCUUGCACUCUCUCUCUCUCUCUCUCUCUCUCUCUCUCUCUCGAAUAAACACUUAAAAAAUAUCCUUCUGAAUGUAACUUUUAUGGAAAUGACAAGUCAACUUUGACAUCUUGAAGGAGGUUAAAGAAAUCAAAUGGAGUUAAAAUAGCUGAUAUCCUGGCAUUUCUUAUUUCCAGAACUCUAGUCAUGUACAUCUGCUCAUCUAGAAUUGGACUUUCAUGAAUUAGGGAGUUGAAAUGUAAAUCUUUGUUAGAACGUAGAUCAUGUGGUGUUACUAUUUGUCAUGAAAGACAAAGUUGAUGAAUACAUGUUGACAAAAAUUAUUGAGAAAGGAUAUUUUUGAAGCUGCUUUUGCUUGUGAACUGGCACUUUUCCCACUUGUAUGACUCUCAGAACAGUUAAGGAAAUUCCGUGCCAAUGUCAUAAGAAGCAAGUAACAUUUGUAAUGGAACACUCCAAGAUUCUAUUGGACUAAAGACUAUACGUGACACAUACAAUCCUUGGACCUGUUUUUCCCCACUUCCAAAAUUCUAGGCAAAAUAAUAGAAAGUGUGGAUAUUAAGUGGGGGGGGACAGGGAAGGAUGUGUGUGAAUGUAUGUUUGGGAAAGAAAUCAAAGAUACCAUCUUGAAUGAAGAAUGACAAUGCCAAAUAAACAGUCUACUCCAGAACAAAUUAUGUUUAUUCAAGUAAGAGUCCAUGUGAUGGGGGAGUAAAGACUCAGAGAGACAGCAAGUACGACUAUGAAGGAGAAAAUGAUUGCUAUUCUUUCCCUACCUGGGCACCUCCUCUAUUUUGUUAUGCUUCCAGGAAAAUUAGACAUUCCAUGAACUCACAUAUGAGCUUUCUCUGCAGAUAAUGGUGAUUGUGUUCAUCAAGUGCAAGACUUGUUUAAAUAUGAAAACAAAGGCCACGAUUUCUGUUACUGUUCUCAUUAUGCCAGAAAUGACUUUGUAUAUGUAUGUCACACAUGCAUUAGAUUUUCUAGUAAAUGGAAAAAUACAAAUGAUG
Molecule: long non-coding RNA, 1058 nt
Filed under: Felis catus (domestic cat)
Lineage: Eukaryota; Metazoa; Chordata; Mammalia; Carnivora; Felidae
Description: lncRNA (ENSFCAG00000048802.1)
Source: RNAcentral